CACUGUUUGGUUUGUUACUAAAACUUGUAUUAGUCACGCGCUAAAGAUUAGUCAGGCACAAUUAGCAGUUUUAAUUGGCAGCUAUUUAGUUCACUGCUAACUAUGUCAUUCCACAUUCUUAGCACCGUGUCGCACGUGUCAAACUUAAUUUUGUGCUAAAUUUUGCUAUAAGUGUAGCUUCGGUUUUGCUCGUCACAUUUUCUAUGUCAGCCACACUUUGGCGAAUGUGAUGCUAGCAAACUACGACAACACAUCCAAACAACCCAGUUUCUGUGAUCACCUAUUGCAUAGGAAAUUGGAGAAACUGAUAGUAAAUGGCUCAUCAGUCAUCACGGCCACAUAUGGCCACUGUCAAGACGCUACUGUUCCUAUUUCCUACUACAGUAUGACGUUGCAAUUGCAACGCAGAGAGAUGGAGCAAGGUAAAGGCAUGGUGUGUACCUGAGGGUUAUCUUCCUCCUGUCACGGACGAGGAGCUGGGUCCUAUGGUCGAUGUAGGCGACAAAGAAGGUGAGCACGAUGUCGACGGCGAAGAAGAGGUCGACGACGAUGUCCGCCACCUCCAGCCCGCCCUUGGGGGACGCGUUCAUGAAGGCCACCUCGAACGGGUACACCCACGCCGAGUACGCCACCAGGACCACCAUCAACGUAUCCCACCAUCUGAUGAUGAUGAUGCAUGAUCGAGCAUCCAUGACAUGUAUAUAUGCAUGUCAGAUUGACUAGCUAGCUAGAUGGCAUGCCUGAUCGAUCAUCGAUGCAGGAUACCUCCUAUGUAGACAUGACAAUGAGCUUACACAGUCAUUGCUUGCAUCACCUGUAUCUGGAGUCGAGCGGCGAGAUGACCCACUUGUCCGACCCGCCAUGGGACUGGCUUUGGCCGGACGGCCCGCCGAGCGGCGGGAGGAUGACCUUGGACAGGUUCCGGAGGUUGAAGGACCCAGAGCCGGAUCUCGAGCCCGUGCCCGUGCCAGAGCUGCCGCCGGCGCUGCUCGAGCUCUUCAUCACGCAAUGCUGCUUCCUGCACCAGCGUCGCAACUAUAUACUAGUACUAUACUAUAUUUGCUAGGACUUGGAGAUAUCUAAGAUGUUGUGGUGGCGCUGCAGCCUGCUGGCCGGGGAUUGGGAAGAAAAGAUAGGGCCGGCUGAGGAAGGCAAAAGGAAAGCGAGAAUCAAAUCAGAUCCGCGUCUGGAGGCAUCAAAAUAAUGAAGCAAGCAGCCAAAGCAUCAAGGCAUCAAUAAUGGAGGAGCAGGAGGGUGAGGAUCUGACUGAGGGAAAGGGGGUGCUGUCCGGGACGACAGUGACCACCAGGCGCAGCUGCACACAUCUCGCGGCCUACAGGGCUACAGGUUGUGGCUGGGAAUUCACCGCGAUUUUGAGAUAUUGCACGUAUGAAAUGUUCAUGGAUGUGGACAUGUGUUUGGGGCCCAUGCAAGCAUAGCUACCUGUCUGCCUCCGGCGCCAAGCAACAAGCAUACCGCCAUGCUGGUGUGUGUUACUCGCGCAGGUCCUUUUUAGAUUGGAGUUUUGCGCUUUCGAAUUCAUUGCUGAAUGGCGACAAUCGGACAGUGCAGUCGGCAGCGGCUGUAGUCUCUAGGCAAAUGCAGCUCUGCUCCUCCAUGCAUGCAUCAUGCAUGUUUAUCACGAUUUCUGCGACUCACUAUCACAUAUCAAAUCUGAUUUUCCUUUUACCCCCACCUACCCCAGGCGUGUAUAUCCUGCACUUUUAAUUCGUCCUUAGGUAAGCCGUCAUCAUCAUCAAGCACAACCACCCUCUAUCGGCUUUAUGCUAAUACUGUGAAAAAACAACUCUGCUCAAUUUACAGAGCGCCAUAGAUUUCGCUGUCAGAUAUGCAAUAUAGACAUUAAUCUGCAGUGUCAGAAUGAAAUGAACAAGAGGUUUGACAGUUGGUAUUGACAAUGAAAUAGCAGGAUGAGACGGAACGGCGGAUGCCCAGCCUUGCUAACGAUUGAACGUUCACCAAAUUCUAAAAAGAGCAAACACUCCGACAACAUUUUCUUUUUACUAUUUUUGAACGCAUUGUUUUCUCUUUUUUUUUUAAAGAUCCGGUUACCCGGCAUAUAUAUUAAUAUGAAGGAUAGAGUUUACAACAUUCGCACGAGGAGCGCGUCCCCCGCACGACAGACCGUCAAGCGGGGCCUAGCUACAAAAGUUAAUUACUCCCAACAUUAGAAACUACAAAAAGUGGGGCAAGAGCCCAGAUGGAUGCCUCAUCCUUAAUCUGAGCCACGGUCUGCUCAACAGUGCUUUCCAUCCCUUGGAAAACCGACGCAUUCCUCCGCUUCCAUAGGCACCAUAGUGUGAGGAUCGCCAGGCUAUGCACCAAUUUCCCCCCGCUGGAAUCAUGUGUAGGAACCAAUCUUCGAUCGUUGGCAGGUCAAUCCACUGAGAUGGUUCCAGACUGCCGCAGUUGCUCCAGUUUGCUACUUGCCUCCAAACUGCUUUGGAGAAUGGGCAUUCCACAAAUAAGUGCCAUGCUGUCUCCAGGCUCCUUAUGCAUAAUCCACAAAAGUAGUUGUUUUCCCAUCCCCGUGACUGUAGUCGCGCGGCUGUCCAUAGGCGAUUCCGUAGCAGCAGCCAGAGGAAGAAUUUGCAUUUAGGUGGAGCCCAUGCCUUCCAUAUCAGCUUACAGAAGUUGGACUGUAUAUUGCCAAAGAACUGUGCGGCAUAGGCCGAACGAGCUGAGUACCUCCCAGACGCCUCAAGUGUCCAACAGAUUUGAUCAUCCUCAUCGUCUUGCAGCUGCAGGUGCAAGGACUGUAUGAGUUGCCACAUGUUAAUGUAAUCCGAGAUGAGGUCGUUGUUAAGGUUAUGUUAGAUAUCCCUAAUCCAUGUUGCGUUGUGGAGCGCCUUAGAGACAGUCCUGUAUUUCCUUUUGCUAUGGCUGUACAGACGUGGGAACUGCUUGGAAAGCGGCCGUCCCUGAGCCCUGUUGGAGUGCCAAAACAAUGCUCUCUGGCCACUUCUGAUUGUCACUAUUGUUGCCGCUGCAAACAGCGCCAAGUCUGAGUCAUCUACCGGCAACGGGGUCCCAUUCCAUGGCCUCUGCGGAUUGGACCAAGCAAACCAGAGCCAUCUGACUCUAAGUGCUCUGCUGAAUUUCUCAAAGUCUAGCACCCCCAGUCCUCCAUAUUCGAUCGGCAUUGUUACGUAAGGCCAUGCGACCUUGCAUUUCCCUCCUGAUACCUCACCAUCAGCUGCCCAUAAAAAACGUCGGCGUACCCUGUCCAAGUCUUCAGUAAAUUGUUUGGGGACUUUGAUUGCCGAUAGCAAGUAUGUUGGCUCUGCACAUGUACUAGCUUCAGUCUUCCCAUGCUUAGGGGCAGCCCCAGGUACUUGAUUGGGAACGAAACCCAUUGGCCAUGAAAGGAUCGUAGAGUGGCGUUCAGGUCAAGUCCUGUGCACCUUAUCGGCGCAACAAUGCACUUUGCCAUGUUUAGUCGAAGGCCCGUUGCAUUUCCAAAAUGCUCAAGAAUCCCAAAUAGAGCAGUGACCUCUUCUGCCACUGGGUUUAGGAAGAUAACCGCGUCAUCCGCAUAUAGGGACAGUCUUAGGUUGGCAUAUCGCCCACGUAGGGGGCUGAGCACGCCGUCUUCGGUUGCAGUGUCCAAAAUCCUUUGAAGUGUGUCAAUUGCAAUGAUGAAUAGGUACGGGGAUAAGGGGUCUCCUUGGCGCAAGCCCCUUGCAUGACUGAUUCGGUUCCCUGGUCGACCAUUUAGCAUGACAGAUGAAUGUGAUGAUUUGAACAGGAGGCUAAGCCACUCGCGCCAUCUGUGACUGAAUCCCCUUUGCUGCAGCAGUUCCAGUAGAUACUCCCAUGACACCGUAUCAAAGGCCUUGGAGAUAUCCAGUUUAAAUAGCAAGGCCGGUGUUUUUGUCCUAUGAUAAGCUCUGGCGAGGUUGCGCACAUACAUGAAGUUAUCCUGUAUACAUCUUCCCCUGAUGAAAGCGCUCUGGGCCUUUGAGAUUAGCUUGUCAAUGUGGGCUGAUAAUCGGAUGGCCAACAUCUUGGUGAUAAGCUUUGCAAAUGAGUUAAUUAAGCUAAUUGGUCUGAAAUCCUUUGCUGACUCACAGACCACAUCCUUCGGUAUGAGGACAAUGUAGGCUGCGUUGAGAUGUUCCAGCGGUCCAGCCCUUAGCUGGUAGAAGGAGUGGACAGCCGCCAUGAGAUCGUCCAUGAUGAUCGGCCAACAAACCUUAUAGAACGUCCCAUUGAAUCCAUCUGGGCCGGGGGCCUUCUCACUAGGCAUCUCUUUGAUCGUAUUCUUGAUCUCUUCCACCGUGAACGGUCGGUCCAUGUCUGGAUCGUCAAGGACAGGAAGUUGCAGUCUUUCCCAGUCAAGAAGAGAGCUUCUGUCACUCCUAGAGCCCAAAAUACCGAUAAAAUGGUGUUCCAGUAUGCCCUCCUUCUCGGAGUGAUUCCACACAAUGCGUCCGUCGUCAUCUUUUAAGUAGGCAAUGAGGGUUCUUUUUCCUCCUGUUCUUCGCUUUCUGAUGAAAAAAUUUUGUGCACGCAUCGCCCUCCUUGAUCUGCAAAACACGUGAGGCCUGUCUUCUCCUAGAUCGUUCCACAGCCGCCCAACCCAGCACUCUUGUUUUUAGCUGCACAAAGAGCUAAAAACAAGAGUGCUGGGUUGGGCGGCUGUGGAACGAUCUAGGAGAAGACAGGCCUUGCGUGUUUUGUAGAUCGAGGAGGGCGAUGCGUGCACAAAAUUUAUGGAUAUACGAAUAAAUUUAUGCAAUAACAAUAUGUACUUAAGAUCAUAAAUUAUUUAAUAUGUAGUGAAACUUAAUAAAUAAACAGAAACAUAAAACUUAUAUCACUAUUCGGACAUAGUACAUACACACAACUUAUAUAGACAUAAUGUUAUGUAACAAAACUUACUAUACCAAUAUUUAGGCAUAAUACAACAUAACCAAAAUGUGUUAUAUAAGUUAUUCAAAAAUAUAUGUUAAUAUAUGAACAAAGGAUUUUUUUGUCAACAGCAGUCAACCCCCCCCCCUCCCUCCAUGAUUGCUGAUGUGGUGCCAGGCUCCACCUCCACCUAUCAUAGAGGGUCACACCCCCCCUCCCCAUUUAUUGUGCAUUCAAGCCACAAGUGAAGAUUAGUGUAGUUCUACUCUCUUAGGAGUGUAGUCUAGUGAGAGUUAGAGUCGAGUAGAGCUUGCUCGAGGUUUUCGGAGUUGUCUUCUGGAGAGUCUGAUAUAGCUCUUGUACCUUUUCUUUCUUAGCAGACUUAAUCUUCCUUUACUUUACUUAAUCUUUACUUUGUGCAAUACUUAUCAUAGUGUUGUUAUGCUCUAUAUUUAUCAUACAAUUACUACAUUUAGAUUGUGAUCCAAGCCCACACGAGUACUACGACCAUAUCACCUAUCAUUGGGUGCUCUAGUUGAUCUUGUGUACAUACACAAUUAGAGUAGUGAGAGAGAGGGUGUAAGUGUUGUGUUGUAACACCCCUGGUGUUACGAGCUCGCUUAACACCUUGCUUAAAGCCUAAAAGAAAUUAACGAAACAAGUUUUUAUGUUUAACUUUCACGAGCCUCGGAUAACCCACUUUUGCGAUUAAGAGAAAACCUUCCGGACCUGAUGAGUGAGUCGCUGUAUGUAAAAAUACGCUAGUGAGAUCCUAAUAAUAAAAAUAGAAUAAGUGUUUUAAUUGUUCGGCAUGGAAAACAAUCUCUGCAAACACCAAAGCAAUAUAGUUCAUGAUUAGAAAGUUUGUUUUUUGAGAAUUAUCUUGUGCGAAAUAAUUAAGCAAUGCCUACUAAGUUUGUUUUAAUCAGUUAGUGUAAAGUGUAGGCCUUUGCUUCAAAUUCUUGGUAGUUGAAAGUAACAAGGUUUAGACCUUUUAAAAAUUGAGACAAAAGAGCUAAUGGUUGUUAGUUGUGACAGAAAUCCAGAAUUCAUUUAGUGCGCAUUGCAGUUACUUAAUAAUAUGUUAACCUAGGGGCUUCUAUACAAAAGGAGCGCAGCCAGAUCGUAGCAGGCCUGUUGGGCCAGCCUGCUUUGCGCGUGGGCUCCUCUGUGCACGCUAGGGUGGAGUUCUAGGCCCAAUUGGUUGCCGACGGUCCAUGGUGUUUUCUAAAUGCUUUUUCCAUUUUAGUUUCUGUAGUAAACUUGUAGAUUCAAUAUAACAUCUUGCGGAAAUCCAAAAAUAAUGAAACCAAUUUUAUUAACUUCCUAAAAUCAUGAUCUAUCUACUGGUAUAAUUUAUACAUAGUAUCAUAGUGUUCUCAAGGGUUCUCUAAUUAAUUAAAGUGCUUAAUAGCGAUGAUAUAUCAACUUGUAAGAAUUUUGAGGACAAAAUGAUGAUAGUGCUGACCAUGAAACUUUUACAGUGGCUUUGAAAUAUUAUUAUAUGCUAAAUGUAAUUUUGUAACUCUAGAAUAAUUAGUUUGUCAUAAUAGUCAAUGAACCCUAAUAUAGAUUAAAUAAUAAAUAGAUUAAGCAACACCUUGGACUUGUUGGGAGAUAACGUUAGCUCGGUAAUGUGGAUGCGCAUCUAGAACGUCAGUCGUUGAGCUAGUUUGUUAGCAUAAGAGGCGAAUCCAUAUUUAAGUUGUGAUUCCUGUUAUUUAUUUAUGCCUCUGCCAUUACCUCCGCGAACACUAGUACAAAAAUCUUUUUGUUGGCACCUUGUUUUUUUCAGAGACGGUUCACAAUUUCAUGACACCACUAGAAAAAAUUUUGUGGGGCCAUCAAGAGAACCGCCCAUGUAAAUGCGUUUAUAUAUGUGGUUCUCUUAACUCACUGCCUAUAUAAACGGUUUAUUUACACUUGAGGUUUACAAUAACAAUCGUCUGUGUAAAUGGUAUUUACACAACGGUUGUCUUAACAACACCGCCUGUUAAUGUACAUUUUUAUACAGAUGGUUUGUAUAGAGGUCCGUCUUUAUUAAUUGUAUUUACACAGGUGGUCCUCAUCAUAAUCUGUCAUGGGGUCACCAAGACCAACUAUAGCAUGGGGUCGUUGCUGUGCGUGAGCAGCUGCUUCUUCUACGCGCUGUGGAUCGUGGUGCAGGUGAAGCUGGGCAACGAGUAAUUGUUCCACUACUCGAGCACCGCCCUGAUGUGCAUCAUGAUCUCACUACAGUCCACGGUGUUCGCGAGCUGCUUCGAUAGGGACACCUCAUAGUGGCGACUCAAGUUCAACAUCAGGCUACUCUCCUGCGCAUACUCGGUCUGAAUGACGUUGUUUAUUAUUUGGCUGGCUGGCCGGCUAGAUGUGAGCGCAUGAUAUGCAUCCGCAUCUCGUCUGGCUGCAGGGCAUUUUGGCGUCGGACAUCGCACUGGUGAUCAUGGCGUGGUGCGUGAAGCAGCGCGGGCCUCUGUUCGUGUCCAUGUUCAGCCCGCUCAUGCUGCUGAUGGUGGCCGUGCUGAGCUCGCUACUGCUGGGCGAGAAGCUGCGCCUGGGCACGGCACUGGACGCGGUGCUCAUCGUCAUGGGACUCUACGCCGUGCUCUGGGGCAAGGGACGCGAGGCGGCGGUGGAGGCGGCCAAGGUCAAAGUCAGCGACCACCCCGCCGCCACCACCAAAGACGAGGAGGACAAGGACGACAAGCAGCACGUCAGCGCUCUGCUACCUCCCGCAGCAAACUCCGUCUGAUCUUAGAUGUGAUCGGUCGGACGGCGUGACAACGCUAUGUUGUUGUUGCGCCUUGCCGGGUACCGUAGUCACCAUGCACAUGCACCCCUUUAGCGACGGCGACACAUGCACGGGGUGAACAAAAAAUAAAUACUACUAGACCAUGAAACUUUUACAAUAGCUUUGAAAUAUUAUUAUAUGCUCACUGUAGUUUUGUAGCUCCUAGAAUAAUUAGUUUGUCAUGAUAGUCAAUGAACCCUAAUAUGGAUUAAAUAAUAAAUAGAUUAAGCAACACCUUGGGCUUGUUGGAAAAUAACGUUAGCUCGGUAACGUGGAUGCGCAACUAGAAUGUUAGUCGUUGAGCUAGUUCGUUAGCAUAAGAAGCAAAUCUAUAUUUAAGUUGUGAUUCCUGUUGUUUAUUAUACCUCUACGAUUGCCUCUGCGAACACUAGUAUAAAAAUCAUUUUUGCUGGCACAUUAUUUUUUCACAGGCGGUUCACAAUUUCAUGAUGUCAGUAGAAAAAAUUUUGUGGGCCCAUCAAAAGAACCCGCCUAUGUAAAUGUGUUUACACAGGUGGUUAUCUUAACUCAACUGCCUAUGUAAACAGUUUAUUUACACUUGCGAUUUAUAAUGUGUAAAUAGUAUUUACACAUGUGGUUGUCUUAACAACACCGUCUGUAAAAAUAUAUCUUUUUACACAGACGGUUUAUAUAGAAGUCUGCCUGUGUUAAUUGUAUUUACACAGGCGGUCCUCAUUAUAAUCCGUGAUGGGGUCACCAAGACCAACUACGCCAUGGGGUCGUUGCAGUGCGUGAGUAGCUGCUUCUUCUACUCGCUGUGGAUCGUGGUGUAGGUGAAGCUGUGCAACGAGUACCUGUUCCACUACUCGAGCACCGCCCUUAUGUGUAUCAUGAUCUCGCUGCAGUCUGCGGUGUUCGUGAUCUGCUUCGACAGGAACACCUCGCAGUGGUGACUCAAGUUCAAUAUCAGACUACUCUCCUGCGCAUACUCGGUUUGAAUGACGUUGUUUAUUAUUUGGCUGGCUGGCUGGAUGUGAGCUGAAUGACAUGCAUGCGCGUCUCAUCUGGCUUCAGGCAUCACGCUCGUGAUCAUAGCAUGGUGCGUAAAGCAGCGCUGGCCUCUGUUCGUGUCCGUGUUCAGCCCGCUCAUGCUGCUGAUGGUGGCCGUGCUGAGCUCGCUGCUGCUCAGCGAGAAACUGCACCUGGGCACGGCGCUGGGCGCGGUGCUCAUCGUCAUGGGACUCUACGCCAUACUCUGGGGCAAGGGACGCAAGGCGGCGGCGGAGGCGGCCAAGGUCAGAGUCAGCGGCCACCCCGCCGUCACCAUCAGAGAGACGAGUAGGAGGACAAGGACGACAAGCAGCACGUCAGCAUUCUGCUACCUCCCACAGCAAACUCCGUCUGAUCUCAUAUGUGACCGGUCGGACGACGUGACAUCACUGUGUUGUUGUUGCGCCUUGCCGGAGUACGGUAGUCACCACGCACAUGCACCCCUUUAGCAACGACGACGCAUGCAAGGGGGUGAAUAAAAAAUAAAUACUACUAGACCAUGAAACUUUUACAAUAGCUUUGAAGUAUUAUUAUAUGGUCACUGUAAUUUUGUAGCUCCAAAAUAAUUAGUUUGUCAUGAUAGUCAAUGAACCCUAAUAUGGAUUAAAUAAUAAAUAGAUUAAGCAACACCUUGGGCUUGUUGGGAAAUAACGUUAGCUCGGUAGUGUGGAUGCGCAGCUGCAGUCAUUGAGCUAGUUCAUUAGCAUAAGAGGUAAAUCUAUAUUUAAGUUGCGAUUCCUGUUGUUUAUUUAUGCCUCUACGAUUGCCUCCGUUCACUAGUACAAUUUUUUUUUCUAACACCUUAUUUUUUUCACAAAUAGUUCACAAUUUCAUGACGCUAGUAGAAAAAAUUUUGUGGGCCCAUCAAGAGAACCGCCUGUCUAAAUAUGUAAACACAGACGGUUCUCUUAACUCAACCGCCUGUAUAAACGGUUUAUUUACACAGACGGUUUACGAUAAUAACUGCCUAUGUAAAUGGUAUUUACAUAGGCGGUUGUCUAAACAACACCGCCUAUGAAAAUGUACCUUUUUACACAGGCGGUUUGUAUAGAGGUCUGCCUGUGUUAAUUGUAUUUACACAGGCGGUUCUCGUUAUAAUUCGCUUGUGUUAAUUUUGUUAUAAAUACCCUUCGUCCACCUCUAGACAACAACAGUUACUCUUGUGAGCUGUGCAGAGUGGCGGUCCAGACAAGAACAGUUUCCAAGGGAAGGUUUUGAUCUUUAUUUCUUUGGUGAGAAACUUCCAAAAGGUUAGUUAUUGAUUGGAUUAUUAGGGUCGCAAUUGGAUUUUUAGUAAAUGAGGAAUUUAAUAUCACCUGGAGUGAUUGGAGUAUGGUGCCAGAAGUGAAAAGGACCACUUGAUGGAAUCGCUUGUGCACUCGAUUUAUUUUCCCGGAGGGUACAGAAGUGUUGGCCAAGGGUUAUGUCAUGAAGCAGUUGGCAAUAUCAUUCCAGGGAUAUAGGCACGAUAUGAAUAAAAAGUGGUUGCAGAAGGGGCGGGACCUAACGAAGAGGUACCCUAUCACAGAGGCUCAGUAGACACAUUUUUGCGUCAUGAGAGACUCAGACGAUUCCAAGGCUAAGAGCAAAGCUGAUGACGACCAGGCCCGAUCUUCCGAGAGGUAGAUGGUAAAUUUAAUUUGUGGAGAUCUCGACGUUGGUGAUCCGGCUUUAAAUCAGACACGAUUCGAACCCUGCAACCAUUACACCACUGCUCUGUUGGUUAUCAACCAAGCACAACUUGAUUGACCUCACCAAGAAGGCUGUUCUUGCAAGUGAAUCGAAGAACAUAAGCAAGAAAAUAUAAAACACGCAAUCUGAAAUUGCAAAUAUGAGUUAACACGAAUACCAAAGAGGUUUCAAGAAUUUGGUUCCAAGGGACUAAUCGACACAGUGGAGGAGAUCAAGAACGGGGGCCUAGAUCACUCUAAAAGAAUUGGUUACCAUAGUUACAAUAAAUGAUUCAGUUUCUCGAUGGAAAACUAAACUCUAAUCAAAACCCAAGUCUAAUAGCGGCAGCUACGUGGAAUAAUAAAGAGAGGCGUUCUAGGGUUGGAGGCAACGAGAGGGAGGCACCCACAACUUGGGCUUAAGGCCCCGAACUCGAUACAUGGCCAAGUUAGCCCAAAACAGGUGAUGCAACACCUUGUCGUGGUCACACAGAAUAAUCCACGAGAGAUCUGGAGCUGGGACCAGAUCCAAAACAACGGCGGCAGCGUCCCCUUUCUAACGUGUCCAAGAUCAUCCCGUUUCGAUAUCGUAUGAAGAAGUUAUGAUUGAAACACUGAUGAUGUGUCUGCUGAAUCCGAGAGUGACAUCGUAGCUGAGUUAGAGAUGAAUUGCAACUUGGAAAAAAUGAUGGUGUAGGCGUGUCUAGCGUGGCAAUGUCCUGAUCAUCCUCCCCUUCUUGAAUUAGAGUCGUCCUCGACUCCAUAUUGGCGAUGUCUUCAUCAUCCCCUCCUUCGAGAAUUAGAUUCGUCCUCGACUCUUUCCCAUCAACGAACUCCUGCAAAAUGUUAGUGACAACAAGCAAUACAUAAGACAUAAUAGGUCGACAAAAUAUAGUAUAAUAUGGUGCAUCUGGUUUAUCACAUAACUCAACAGUGGCAGAAGUUGUAGCAAGUAAAGCACCUCCUUGUAACUUAAUCCCAUUAUUUUUAUCAAUGUCUAUUGGAGGUUUAUUGUUAAUCUCUUUAGCAUGUUUAACAAUAUCCAUAGGUGACAAAGGCAGCAAAGUAAUUUUCUUGUUCUUAUGCAUGAAAGCUUAUGUAUUAGUUCUACCAUGGUGUAAAGCAUCAUUAUCAAAUUCUCAUGAACAUCCUAACAAAAUUGAACAAGCUUGCAUAGGCACAACACCAAAAUCAGCGGUAUCAUGAUAACAACCUGUGAAGAAACUAAAACAAGCUUGCAUAGGCACAACACCAAAAUCAGCGGUAUCAUGAUAACAACCUGUGAAGAAACUAAUGCGGGCUUAUUUAGUUACCUUAGUCUUACCACUAUUAUUGAACCACUAAAGUUUAUAUAGAUACAAAUGUUGUCGUGUGGUUAAGCCAAGCUUCUCAACCAAAUCUGAACUCACCAAGGUAUUGCAACUCCCGCUGAAAGAGCAUCUAGGCCCCUAGUGAUUUCGGUGAUUAAUGACAUUAUUGAUUACUAUGACUAACGUGUGUUUUGCAGAGGCAAAGUCAUAGGUAAGGUCAUGGUAAAUAGGUACUCGAUGGACAGGGACGUACAUGCCUACUUAAUAGUGGAAAUCGUUUCGGUUUUCAAAGGAUGGAUGGACAUCGUCAAGACUGGACUAGGUCUAAGUGCCAUAUGGUGAAGAAGGGCACUUAGAGUAGUUUAGGACUUUGUUUUACUUUGACUGUACUAUUAAGAGGAGCUUUGAUCUAGUAGCUUUAGGCAAGGCUUUAGGUUUAGGUGUGGUGCACACUUGGUAAACCUAGCACUAGGCAGCUCAGAGAUAGUCCUUAGAUCGAGAGAAACCAACUUCGUUUUGGAGCGAUCGCGUUUCGACGAAGUUUGGGUGCCCAAAGGGGCACCGGACGCUGCACCGGACGCACUCACGCUAGCACCGGACGCACCGGGUAGCGUCCGGUCCCGUACCCAGGGAGCUUGUAAUGUUUCCCUGAGCACCGGACGCACCGGGUAGCGUCCGGUCCCAUGCGCAGGGAGCAUGUAAUGUUUUCCCGAGCACCGGACGGUGCACCGGACGCUGGAAGUUAGUGUCCGGUGACCUGUCAGAGAGAAGUACAGUUAGCCGUUAUGAAGCACCGGACGCUCGGUGCAGUGCGUCCGGUGCAAGAUAAUGUGCGUCUGGUGACCCCGUUUUCAGUGGAAAACGGUUGGCCGACCUUUGGACUUUGUGGAUAGUAUUUAUACUCCUCCACCUCGUCCAUGAGAGGUCUCUUGCCCAUUUGAACAUCAGAGAAACUUGUUGUGGAGAAAGAGAGUUGCAAGAGCCUAGAGAGGAUUGAGAUUUGAGUGAUUUCUUGAGAGAAUCCUUCUCUAGUGAGUUUCAAGAGUCAAGUGUGCAUCCACCACUCUCUAGUGCCUUGUUUGGGUCAAGUGAGAGUUCUUUGCUUGUUACUCUUGGUGAUCGCCAUCACCUAGACGGUUCGGUGGUGAUUGGAGGCACGAAGACCAUCCGGAGUUCUUGUGGGUGGCUCGUGUCAAGCUUGUGAGCGGUUUUGGGCGAUUCACCGCGACGGAGUGUCGAAGAAUCAGCCCGUAGAGAGCACUUGGUCCUUGCGCGGACCAAGGGGGAGCAAGACCCUUGCGCGGGUGCUCCAACGAGGACUAGUGGAGAGUGGCGACUCUCCGAUACCUCGGCAAAACAUCGCCGAGCACUUUCUUCCACUACUCCUUUACAUUCUAGCAUUUACUUUGUGCUUUUACAUUCUUAGAAUUGCCAUGCUAGAAUAGGAUUGGAGCUAGGUUGCAAAACUUUUAUCCGGUAGCUCUCUAGGACACUCUAGGCACAAGGGGUUGAAUUGGAGCUUAUAGGUUGCUUAAAUUUUUAGAGAAGCCCAAUUCACCCCCCCUCUUGGGCAUCUUGAUCCUUUCACCCGCUAUCAAUGACGGUGAGAACACAACAACCCUGCACAAUAAGAUACAUUUGGAACAAAUUGUGGCACUGGAUCUUCAUCUCUUCUAUUUGUCCCACACGUGAACUCAAAACACGCUGCACAAGAAGGCUACGGUAGCCCGCGGAGGCAGCCAUGGAGUCAAUGUGGAUGGCGUCUUUGUCUUGAUCGCCCUCAGAAGAAUCUGCAUCAAUGUUAGCAGCAAGGGCUAAAUCAUCUUCAACAUCACUAGCACUUACAUAUCUAUCCUCGGUAGCAAUGAAAGCACGACGACUAGGGCAGUUCUUCAUGACAUGUCUCAUGCCUUUGCAUUAGUGGCAAAUGAUUUUAGAACUAGGCAAGAAGGAGCUAGUAAAAACACCCAGAGUGGCACCUUUCUUCACCUGUGGGGGCUGCACAUUAGACAAUUUACUUACCCUAGCAGAAAAUGCAGGUGUAGAUGGUUGUGGUGCAAUAGAAAUCUUGGGCGUCUCUAGCUUGGAACGUUGCUGAAAAUUCCUCUCAGUGUUAGAGCUGAAAGACUGGUGUUGUUUGCGUCCCUGUACUUCGCGUUCUGCCUUAAUAGCAAGAUGAUACAAUUGGAAAAAAUUAUGACAUUCUUUAUAAUCAAGAAUGUUCUGUAUAUCAUGAUUUGAACCACAAAAAAAUCUAGCACUAGCAUCAAUAUCAUCUUUAUUGACACCACAACGUGCUAAACCAAUAAGCAAUUCUUGAUAGUAUGUUUCUACUCCUUUAUCUCCUUGUUUUAAAGCUUGCAGUUUAAGACAUAAAUUACGUUGAUAAUAAGGAGGAACAAAACAAGAUUUUAUACGUUGUUUUAAAGCAUUCCAAGUUCGAGGCAUAGCAGCAGUAUUAUUAACAUUGUAAAGAUAACUCUACGAAAACAAAGCAAAAUUAGUAAACUCACUAGUAGCAAGCUGUUGGGAAGAUGCUCUCCGCACUCCCCAGCAGUACGAUGAAUAGAGAACCUUCUCACUCGAUGCCGUGAGAGGUCUGAGCUCCAACGAGCAGCGGGCUCAACAGUAGGUGAACACAAUGAAUGCCCUCCUUUAUUAAUGGCGGUAUCACGCCCCUUAUAUAGGGCCCGGAAACCAACCUAAUGACAUUUACAUAAAUGCCCCGUGACGGUGGGGGAAUAUUCCGGUAUAUCCUUUCAUCGCAGUCUACUGACCCUAAUACACCUGCGUAAUUUCACAUUGCAAACCCUUCGUUCAUCCUCUGACUGGGGCCUCAGCAUGUCGGAGGCUUGGAUCCUCCGCCCAGUUGCGGAUCCUCCGACGCUUUGGUGUCGGAGGUUCCGCAGCCCGGCUGGUCGGAGGUUGCUCGACCCGGCCACCCCGGGAGUUCCUCCUUAGCCUGGUCCAGUCGGAGGUUCCUUGGCCUGGCUGCGUUCUCCCGCCAUCCUCGGACCCGGGAGGGUCGGAGGCUCCAAUCUUUCCUCGCUCGUGGACCUCCGCCGGUGUCUCAGUCCCUGCACACACACUGCGCGACCAGACGAGUUGUCAACAUUAGCAUUUCCCGUCGAAGGAUAUCCUCCAACGUUUCAGGCGUCGGAGGUUCCUCAGGUGAAGGAUAACCUCCGUCGCUACCAGGGGGAAGGAUGCAGCUUUUCCCCAACAGUUCCCCCCUUUUUGGGCUAAUGGCACUCCUGCGGUCCAUGUGCUCAAAAACAUGCUACGCUGCGGAGACUAUGAGCAUGGUUGCUGCCUUCCCCCCUGGUGCGCAGGAUGUGUUUGUUAGCAGAUGUUGGAUAACUGUUUCUUUUACUUAGUCAUAAAUUUUCUUGGUUUCUUUAUUUUGCCGGGAUCCUCCGAUCAUUGUUGCUAUGUUAGUCUGAUAUCCUACGCGCGUUAGAUUGCGGAGGAUUGCGGAGGAUAUUAUUGCCGUUGGAGUUAGCCGUUGGCAUUGACGAAGCGCAACGGUCUGGCCGAUUCCUCCGCUUAUAGCCGUUGGGCGCGGGGAAUCGCAACGGCCGCACGGUCGCAGGCCCCCCCCUAUAAAAGGGGAUGCUGGGGAGCUUUGAGCUCUCACACCUGCUACUCAUUGCCUGCACACCUUCCUUCGCUACAUCUUUCGCUCUGAGCUGCUCGCGUGCGUUUUUGUUUAGUUCUAAAGUAUUGUCUGAGGUUUUACGGUGGCUCAGCUUCCUCCACCGCGUCCUUCGAGGUCAGAUUUUUCUGGUCCUUUGCGCAAUUUCCUUAGUGUGAGGUCCGGAGGUUGGCUGCGGAGGUUUGAGGAGUGGAUGCUUGAGGUGACCGCAGCUCGAGAUCUGGAGGAGACGUUAUCUGACGUCGAAGCUUCUGUUGGGGACUUGAUCAGUGCGAAGGAGUUUGAGGAGAUGGCGGCGAUUACUUUUGAGUUCGGGCAGUCGACUGUGAGGACGGAGGAUAUCGCUGACAUGGUUGAGGCUAGGUUUUUCAAGGAUGGUCGGGCGGAGGCUCCUCCUGCGGGUCAAACGGUGCCUGCGCCUGGUGAAGGUUAUGCGGUGGUUUUUAGGGAUUUCUUCACCUGCGGGCUUCGGAUGCCUCCAUAUCAUUUCCUUCGCGAAGUGAUGGAGAGUUUCAACGUGGAGCUGCAGCACUUCAGUCCCAAUGGGAUACUAACACUUAGCAAAUUCGCAUGGGCGUGUGAAUCCUACGGAGCCAUGCCCCACAUUGAUACUUUCUGCUCGUAUUUUGAACUUCAGCGUCAACCUAAGAAGGUGAAGGAUGCCGAAGGUGUUGAGUGCAUUGCGCAGUUUGGAAGCUGCGCGUUCAUGCCGCGCCGCACAAUGCCUGGGCCAAGGUGCGAGAUCUCCUACUGCCAAAAGGGCAAGUGGGAGAAGGAUUGGAUGAGGGCCUGGUUCUACGUGAAGACCCCCGCUGCGUCGAAGACUUUAGAUGACGGCAGCGUUGAUAAAGUUUAUCCUUACGCGUCGUUGAUGAAGGAGCUGAAGCCUUUCUCGAAGGUUGAUCCUUCGCAGGAGAUGUCGGAGGAGCGACUGGCUUGUGAUAAGGCAUUUGCGCUGGCAUGCCGAUAUUCCGGAGGCCGGGAUUUGGUUGAGGAGAUGGUCGCUGCUGACUACUGGCCCCUUGGCCGCAGGACCGAUGAGUUCACCAUUGAGAUGGUGCAAGUCCCUGUGUUUGGUCCUCCGGAAGGUUUGCCGUUUCCCCGGUUUGGCGCGGGUAUUCCGGAGGAUGAGACCAAGGAGUCCUUCCUUGAUCGAGUGGAGGUUUCUACUCGGAGGAUCGUCGGGAAGAUUUUGGAGAAGGAGUAUCUCCAGCGGAGGUCUGCACUGGGCACGAUGCCCCGCUUUAACCGAGUGUUUGAGGAGUUGGGGAUUGAAUAUGAGGAUUACGUUGUUCCUCCGGAUGUUUUGUUGGGGUUGGAGAAGAAGAAGGAUUCCAAGGCCGUUGCUGCGGCGGAGGCUAGGAAGAGGAAGGGUGGCGGCGCUGUGAAGCAGCUUGCUAAGAAGCGCAAGGCGGAGGUUGUGUUGGAGACUCCUGUGGGGUCUUCCUCCGCUCGCUCUUCUGCUGCCGAGUCCAACUCGGUGGCUUCUGUUCCUGCGGAGGCUGCUCCUGCUGGUGGAGUUCCUGAGGUUGAGGCCUCACGCGCGGUCUCUUCUAUACGCGCGCCUUUCGCGUCCCUUCUUGGGGAGGAGUCUUCCGAUGCGGAGGCUCCUGAGGCGAGUCCUGCGCGGGAGGCGAAUCCUGUGGUGGCCGAGAGUCCUGCGCGUGAGGCCUUGGCUGGAGGAGGAUCUCCGCCUAAGGAGGUUCAGGUGGAGUCCAGCGACGAAGCUGAGUCCGCCUCUGUUCGGAGGAUCAGGAGGGCGGAGGCUCCCCUUCGUCCGGCUGGUGACGGUAUUAAUUCGUUGUACAUGGGUAAUGAUUUUUUGUUGAUUAUUUGUUUUUCUGCUGGUUUUGAUUGACUUGGUCUCAUGUUUUUUGUUUAUCUUUCAGCGGAUGUUUUUGCUGGGCUGGCUACCGCGGAGGAGAUGGCUAAAGGCGCCAGCGUUGCGCAGGAAGGACUUGCCGUUCCUCCGCCGCGUGAGCCUGCGCCUUCUGCGUUGGCCAACAGGCCUUCGCCUGCUGAUGUUCUUGGUCCCGGUGAGUUUCUUCUUUUUGGUUCAACAGUUUGGUUUGUUUUUUUGGCAUUUUAUUCUAAGGUUUGUUUUUGUUAUGCGCAGGUGCUUCUGAUCAUUCGAUCACAGGUUGGACUGAUGCCUUGCGUGAGGUUCAUUCCUUGGUCGGAGGUUCGUGUUCUGGCCUCCGCCAAAGGUUUUUUGUUUCUUACGAUGUUUUUUCUUACUUGUUUUUGCUUUACAGAUCGUUUUCGUCAGAAGCUCCGCGGCAUGGACUUUGACACGCUCCUUCGCGUGCAAUAUGAGCACCAUAGCCUUGUAUGUUUGUGAUUUGUUAUAUCUUCCUUCGCGGUUUUUCACUCGGAGGUUUGUUGUAACUAUUUAUUUUUGAGCAGGGUCAUCACAUGGCUGCCGCCUUGGAGGAGCGUUGCUCCCGGGAGGUUAUCUGCCGUGAUGAGGCGAUUGGUGCUCUGAAGAAAGAGAACGAGACUUUGGAGGCUGAGAAGGCUCGUUUGUCGGAGGAGGUUAAGGAGUUUUCCUCCGUCAGGAAGGAGAUUGAUUCCCUGAGAAAGGAGAGGGAUGACUAUAAGGCUGGAUCGGAGGUUCUGAAGAAGGAGAAGGAAGAUGCCGAAGCUUCGGCGGCGGUCCUCCGCACAAGUGUCGCUGAGGCGGGUAGAGUUAGGGACUUAGCCCUGCAGCGAGCUGAGAAGGCGGAGGACAUUGCUGAACGCCUUCGCAAGGAGCUUGACGCUGAGCAGACGUCUGCGGUUGAGCUGCAGACUCGCAUGCGGAAGGCGGAAGCGGAGGCUGCAGCUAUUGUUGGGCUCUAUGCCGACUCGCUCGCGAAGUUUGGGGGAAGCACCUCUGCUCCUCCGCCCGGCGGUGAUGUUGGGGCUGUCCUCGCGUGGCUGAAGUCUCAUAUCCGCAUGCUCCCCGACUUUGUCGGAGGUGCUGUUGAUUUUGGGGCUUUGGCCGCGGUUAGCUCCUUCGCUAGGCUUUUACGCCGCGGAGGUUGCUCUCACGCGGAGGGAGUCGCCAAGGAGGAAUUUGCUGCGGCGGAGGAUGUUGGCGAAGGCACCCCUAGCCUGCGCAAAUCUGUCCGGAACUUUAUCAGUUCGUUCUGGAUUAGGUUUGGGCGGGAUGAGGCGAAGAAAAUGGCAGAGGAUCGUCGAGCUGAGGUUUGUAUUAUUUGGUUAUUUCUUUUCGUAUUUUGCUUUGCUGCUUUGCAAUGUUACUUAAGAUGGGUAUUUUGUAGGAGAUUGCGAAGAAGAAGGCUAAGGUUGUCAAGGCCGGUCCUUCGCGUCCACCGAGGGAGACGUGUCCUCCGACCCAGGUUGAAGCGGAGGCUCGUGAUGCUGGUGCCAAAGCUCCGGAGGGGUCUGGUGCCAAGGUUUCAGAGACGCCCGAGGCUUCUGCUCCUCCUCCGCCUCAGGUGUGAGGCUUUUUAGUUUUUAGGUUUUUCUUAGCCUUUUUUGCGUCCAGGCAUGUGACGCUUUUUUGUAAGUAAGGCCGGAGGUUUUGCUUUAAUUUGUAAAGACUGUUUAAAAUGUAAUAUAUUGAGUUGUUUUCAGAUAAGCCUUUGUUUUACACUUUGAUCCUGCGCAGGUCUCUGGCGGAGGACCUGCGCAGGAUCAUUUCAUUACUCCCCUUUCGUUUUUUUACAAAGGGAUUUAUGUUUCUGGCGAAUUGUGGGAGUAUUGGCGAGUUGCCUUCCCUAACAUGAGAUUGGUGGAUAUGUUCGAGUUUGUUGGAUAUGAUAUUGAUGGCGAAGGAUCUGGAUUUAUCCAGUCGCUUGCGCGCCGAGGUUCAUGGCCUCCGGCUUAGGUGGAGGUUUUUGUUUUUCUUUUCGUUUAUCGUAGGUUUUGCUUGUAUUUUUUGACAUGAUUUGAUGUGUUUAUGUAGUUGCCAUAUCCUAUCCUUCGCAUCUUUGGUGAGAGGGAUAGGGUACGCUGGGUGGCGGAGGCUUCUGAGGAUGUUGCUGAGCCUUUUCUUCAAGGUUUUCCGGAGGUUCGAAAGCUUCGUUUGGCUUUUUAGUUUUAUCCUUCGUUUGUGUUGGCUUUGAAGUUGUUAUUUUCUGCGCAGGUUGUGAGUUCUGCUCCGUUGGAAGAUCUUCCUUCGAACUUUGUCGAAGGAAGUUACGUUACCCCGGUGACGUUCAAGCGUGGAGAUUUGUACGCGAGGGGUUAUCUAAUUGACUGGUGGCGCCAUAAGUAUCCUACGCGUAGUAUAGAUGACUUAGUUGAUUUCCUUGUUCGUGAUUACUGUGAUGAUCUUAGGCUUUUUCCAGAUUCGUAUGUUAGAAUUGUGCGAGGGUCUUAGAACCUUCGGCGUUUUAAGGUCGGAGGAUGUUUCUCGUUUUUUGUUGUAAGCUUGUGUUAUGUACAUUGUAUACGGUUAAUAAAGAUCAGACAUUUUUACCACAUGGUCUUCGCACCUUUUAAUUUGUACGUGACUCAUAGAUCCUUCGGUUGUUUAGUUGAAGGAGGAUUUGUAAGUUGAACUUGUACAAGCUACCUAUAACCUUCGACUUUUUAUGGGUCGAAGGAUGAUUUUAUUCUUUUUUUUUUGUAAACGAACUUUUGUAAUGAUUUCUUCAUCGAUAAUAAAGUUUUUAAGUUUGCUACAACCUUCGAUCUCAUUUUUAUUACAACCUUCGCGCUACAGCAUUUAUAUAUUGCAACGUCACGGUGGUGUUGAUCCUAAAGAUCUUUGUGUUGCUGUGGCUUGCUUGUUCUUGAUGCUUGAUGUUGCGAAGGAGUUGUUGAUUUUUUCUUGCGCGGAGGAUCGCUGCUUCUUGGCCUUAGAACCUUCGACUUUUUUGGCGCGAAGGAUCCUUCGCUGAAUUGUGCUAUUUUUUUCCUUUGCUCGACUCCCGUGGAGUGUUGUCGAGGAGAACCUUCGGCUGUCUAAGUCGGAGGUUCUGAAGGGAUGUUACGAGACUUCGUGCGAUACCCUUCAGAGACCUCUGAGUCUGACUUCCAUUGUUUCUGUUGUGGCUGUACACGACUUUGUGGUCGAUGUUCAUCACAACGCCGUAGUUCUAGUAUUACGAAGCUUCGUGCGAUACAAACUUUUGUUGGUGUUGUGAGGCUAACUCCUGCUUCCAUGGUGGCCUAGGAUUUUUGCUUUUUGACUGCUAGGUUUGCACUCGAUGCUCGGGUCUUUGUAUGCUGAUCCUGAUUGGGGGUGGGGGUGGGGUGAGCCUGGUUUUAUAGGCUUUCAUGCAUUUAUUUUAUGUACUCUGUUAGGUUAAAAUUUAUUAUCGGGUUAUUGAUGGUUGUUGUGGUAGUUGGUUUUGCUGUAUCUGACCGAGGGUUAUUGUAGUUUCGUUUUAAUUUCACACUUUGUUUGUUGGGGGUCUGCUUAGAGUAGCAGGAUACCUUUGACCUUAUUUUGGUGAAGGUUAUGUGAAUUUUGUUGGGGUCUGUCCUGUGAAUGUUAAACCUCCGCUGCCUUUUGGCGAAGAUAAUAUGGUUCCUGAUGCCUGAUUCUCCUCAGGUCUUUGUCAGGUUUGAAGGUUUUGCUCCUUCUGGCCAUGUUGUGAUGCCUGAGACGGACAGGACUUUUUCACUUUUUGGCCAUGUUAUCCUUGCUGCCCGGCUCUUGGCUAGGUCUUUUGCUAAGGAUUUGGUGUUUUUUCACCUUUGAGGACGUUCCGAGCUUUCUGAGCUGUUGGAUGGAAGCUGCGGAGGGUCCUUGUGAUCACGUGACGUUUUGUCGAAUGCUACAGCCUCGUUGCUGGCUGUUUUUCGACUUUUUGGGCUUUGGUUCUGGGGUGGAUUCCUCUUUAUAUUUCAGAGGUUUUUACAUGGGUUCUGCCUCGUUAAAAACCUCACCUCCUGGUAGGAGUACCCCUGUGAGGAAAAGAGUGCAGACCUUGGAAUGCGAAAAAGUAGAGAAAAAGAAAACAAGCGUAUUUAGGGAUGUGGAUGCCGCCGCUUAUUUUGCAGGGGUCAUCCUUACACUCAAAUGUAAAAUCUACGUAGAUUGUCGACGUUCCACGUGUGGGUGGAGGUUCUUCCUUCGAGGUCUUUCAGGUAGAAGGAUCCCGACCUUCCCGCUUGUAUUGCUGUGUAAGGUCCUUCCCACUUGGGUUGCAAUUUACCAGCGUUUGGGUGAUCUCCUUUUUUCCUGAGCACCAGGUCCCCAUUUUGUAUGUCUUUUCGUACUACCUUGCGGUCUCUCCAAUUCUUGGUUUCUCGUUGAUACUUUGUAAUGUUCUCCACUGCCUCAAGUCUUAUUGAUUCUAAGGUUUCCUUGCAGUACUCUUCAUCUUCAGCCAACUGCUGAUUCAUGGAACGCAGGCUUUGGUGUUUGAUUUCUUCGGGCAACAUUGCCUCUUCCCCAUACAAGAGCUUGAAUGGAGUGAACCCAGUUGUUCUUGAAACUGUUGUGUUAUGUGACCAUACAACUCUUGGUAGUUCUUCAACCCAUUUCCCCUUGCGUAGGUUGAGUAAGGUCUUGGAGAUUGCGGAAAAUAUUGUUCUGUUUGCUCUCUCUACGGCCCCGUUUGACUCUGGGUGAUAAACAGACGCGAAAGCAAUUUUGGUUCCUAUGUGAUGGCAGAAUUCCUUGAAACUGUCUGAAUCAAACUGCUUCCCGUUGUCAACUGUGAGCAAGCGUGGGACUCCGAAUCUGCAGACUAUGUUCUGCCAGAAAAAUUUCCUGAUUGUUUCAGAGGUUAUGGUUGCCAGUGGCUUAGCUUCGAUCCAUCUUGUGAAGUAUUCGAUGGCCACGACUGCGAAUUUGUUUCCCCCCUGGGCAGUUGGCAUUGGUCCUACCAGGUCCAUUCCCCAUCUCUGCAACGGCCAUGAUGCUGGUAUGAGCUGAGUUAGUGCUGAGGGUCCUGCCUGAAUUGGUGAGAAGGUUUGGCAGGCUUUGCAUGUUUUCACUAUUUCUUCAGCGUCUUUAAUGUGAGUUGGCCAGUAGAAACCUUGUCUUAGUGCUUUAGCAGACAACGCGCGGGGUCCAAUGUGAGACCCGCACAUCCCUGAGUGUAUCUCUUGUAGGAGUUCUCUGCCCUCGCUUUGUGAUAUGCAUCUCAGCAAAGGUUGGACUACGCCUUUCUUGUACAGGAUCCCGUCAAUGGAGGUGUAAUUCCUUGCUCUUGCCUCCAUCCUCUUGGAUGUUGCUUCGUCAUCUACAGCUGUCUCGCCUUUGAGGCAAUCAGCUAUUGCCUGCCUCCAAUCUUCGCUUUCUGUCAGCAGGACUGAGCGAAAGGCUUUUGGCAACGAUUCGGUUGCGGGUGCUGUAACAAUCUGGUGGAAGGUUCCUUCUGGCAAGGGGGUGUUGUUGGCUGCUGCCUUCGCUAGCUCGUCUGCUUCGUAGUUUUCGGCUCUUGGAAUGUACUGCAGAGUGAAUCCCUUGAACCUUCUCUCCAGGCCUCUUAGGACGGCCAGAUACCUUGCCAGCUCCGGGUUGUGUGCUAGGUAUUUCUUCUCCACUUGCCCUGCCACCACCUGGGAAUCUGUUUUGAUGAGUAGGGUUUUUGCUCCCGAAGCCUUAGCUUUGUUCAGCCCGAGGAUGAGACCUUCAUACUCGGCUAUGUUGUUUGUUGCUUUGAAUUCGAGUCGUACAGCAAACUUUAGUUUGAGUCCAGAUGGUGUGAUUAGGACGGCUGCUGCUCCUGCUCCCGCUUGGCCCCAGGCGCCAUCUGUAUACAGCGUCCACGGCUGAUCGACUACCUUCUCCUCGUUUUUGUCCGAAGGUGUCCAAUCUGCCAUGAAGUCAGCCAGGGCUUGAGAUUUGAUGGAGGUUCUGGGGACAUAGGUGAUAUCAAACUGUGAUAGUUCGGCCGCCCAUUUUCCUAUACGUCCGGAAGCCUCUUUGUUCCUAAGGAUAUCACCCAGUGGCUGUGAAGUGGGCACUUUAAUCUCAUGGCUUUGGAAGUAAUGCUUGAGCUUCCUUGAUGCACACAGGACCGCGUAUGCGAUUUUUUCUAUCUCCGUGUAGUUCAGCUUUGCUCCUGAUAGAGCUUCAGAUACGUAGUAGACGGGUCUUUGCACCGUUCCCUUACUGUCGCUUGUCUCGUGCACCAGGACACCACUGACAGCGUGAUUGGAGGCAGCCACAUACAGUAGUAGUGGGGUGUCCGGCUCAGGCACUGUCACCACCAGGUUGGUUGCAAUGUAAUUUUUGAGAUGCCUGAAGGCCUCUGAUUGUUCCGGACCCCAUUCUGUUUUACCUUCUCCUCUCAGCACUUUGAAGAAUGGGAGACUUCGUUCUGCCGAUCUCGAGAUGAAUCUGUUGAGGGCUGCUAUUCGGCCAGUCAGCCUUUGCACUUCUUUCUUGUUUGAAGGUUCUGCCAUUGACAUGAUUGCUUUUGUUUUGUCUGGGUUAGCUCUAAUUCCUUCAGAACUGAUGAUAUAUCCCAGCAUUUUUCCCUUGCUGACCCCGAACACACACUUCUCCGGGUUAAGUUUCAGCCCGGCAGAUCUAAGAUUGACGAAGGUUUCCUGUAGGUCCUUGAUAUGAUCUUCCUUGCGCUUGCUCAUGACGACAACAUCGUCGACGUAGGCUAUGAUGUUUCUCUGUAGCUGACUUCCUAGAACCUUCCCCAUCAUUCUGGAGAAGGUUGCUCCAGCGUUUUUGAGACCUUCUGGCAUUCUGGUAUAGCAAUAUGUGCCGAAUGGGGUUGUGAAGCUUGCCUUUCCUUCGUCUUCUUUUUUGAGCCAAAUUUGGUGGUAACCAGAGAAACAGUCCAGCAGUGAGAAUCUCUGACAACCAGCUGCUUUGUCCACAGAGGUAUCUAUCCUUGGCAAGGGGAAGGAGUCUUUGACAAAAGCCUUGUUGAGAUCCGUAAAAUCUAUGCACAUUCUUAUUUUGCCAUUUUUCUUGGGGACCAAGACCACAUUUGCCAACCAUUCCGGGUAUAUGACUUCUCUAAUGACCUUUGCGUCCAGGAGUCUUUGUACCUCUGCCUUUGCGGCUAAGGUUCUUUCUUCAGACAUUUUUCUCUGUCUCUGCUUCUUCGGCCUCAUCCUCGGAUCAAUGUCCAGCGAAUGCUCUAUUAUGUCUCUGCUGACUCCUUGUAGGUCAGCGGCACUCCAAGCGAAGAUAUCUUGGUUCUUUUGCAACACGUCUAGCAGUUCGAGUUCCUCCUCUCUACCAAGGGUGGCGGAGAUGGUGACCUUCUUAUCUGGAACAGCUUCCUGCAGAGGGACACAUUUUGUUUCCUCCUGAUCAGCCAGGUCUGUUUUCCCCCUUGGCAUGUCUGGUGGCUGGGAAGCUUCAUGCUGCAUAGAGUCUACGGAGUUUAUGUUCCGGAAGGACUUGUAGAUUGCUUUCUCUAUGUUCCUUGCCUCCUUUUGACUUCCGUGAACCGUUAUCACUCCGUGCAGAGCCGGGAUUUUCAUGCACAGGUAUCCCAUAUGAGCGGCCGCAUUGAACUUGUUCAAGAAUCCUCGCCCGAAUAUGGCAUUAUAUGGGUAGUGCAAGUCUACCACAUCGAAGGUGACGUACUCUGUUCUUGCGUUCUCCGUUGUGCCGAAGGAUACGGGCAAGGCGACCUUCCCCAGAGCAUGUAUCUGCUUUCCUCCGAACCCGAUCAAAGGUGACUCCGAAGGUUGGAGUUGGCUUCUACUGAGCUUCAUUUGGUCAAAGGUUUCAGCAAAUAUUAUGUCUGCGGAACUCCCUGAAUCCACUAAGAUCCUGCUUACUCCCCAACCCGCAACAUUUGUUGUUAUGACCAAGGCGUCUGUGUGAGGGUAGCUUUCCAAUCUUAGAUCUUCCUCGGUGAAGGUUAUUGGGGUUCUGGACCAAUCAGUGCAUCUCACUGGCCCUUGAACUGCAACGUUGUUGACGAGCCGGAGGUGAUCCUUCUUCUGUUUCUUUGUCUGGAACUCCAUUGAGGACCCUCCAGCUAUUGGUAAGAUCAUUCCAAUCGUGGGCAGGGGUGUAUGAGGGCCGAUCUGAUUAUCAGGGUGGGGUUCGGUUUUUGGUGGUGGUGGGGCUUGGAGUAGCUGUAGCUGGUUUGGGGGAGGGGGUAGUGACUGCUGGUGGGGUUGCGGGGUCUCGAUGUACGUGAUAUGUGGAGGUCGUGGAGGAACAUAGUUUGGUGGAAGGUUGUGAAGGUUGUGGUCCGCGGUUUGCUGGGCUAGGCGCCAAGCUGGUAGGAAGCUGGGAUAGUAAGCGGAGGCUAGCGCGCUGGGCUGAAGUGGAGCUGGGAGCUGUUGGCUUGAACCUCCGACAUAUGAAUGGUAGAAGGUUUGAGGGAAUGUGUGAUUUACUUCCCGAGGUUGAGCAACUGGUAUCGGAGGUUGCGGAGCUGACCUGCUCUUGAUCCUCUCCUGAGUUUCUUUUGCGUCUGGGCAAUCUCUGGUGGAGUGACCCUUCUCCUCCCCAUGGAAGAAACAAUACUGUUUCCGUGGUCGCUGACUUUGAUUUUUUCGCCAUCCCGCAUUUCGACCCCCUCUUCCGGCUUGAUUGGGUAUGCGUUCCGAGCUUCGCGCUUCCGCUAGUGGACGGUUAUUUUCUGGCCUGUCAUUUUUCGGUUGCUCGAUAUUCAUCAUCUGUCCACCAGCCUCUCGCUGUGGCCGGCGUUCAUCCUGGCUGAGGUUCUUCUUAUGUGAGUUUCUAUCAUUGCUCUGCCUCUUCUGGGAGUUUUGGUCUUCCAACCUUUUGCGGUAGUCGUUGUCUGACCUGCAAUACUUCUCAAACUCGUGGUACAGCUCGUGCAUGGAUGCUGGCUUUUCUCUGGCCAAAUCAGCCGCGAAGGGCCCUAUGCGAAGACCCUUGAUGGCCGCUUCAAUGGCAACCUCCUCCGGCACGCCGGGUGCUCUUGCCUUAGUCUGUACGAACCUUUGGAAGUACUCCCGCAGUGCCUCUCCCUGACUCUGGCGACACUGGAACAGGUCCGUGGAGGUUAGUGACUCAACUGCGAAUCCCUGGAAAUUCGCUAAAAUCUUGUCUCGAAGGUUCUCCCAUGAAUAGAUUGACCCGGGUCUCAGCAUUGAGUACCAUGCCAAGGCAUCUCCCUCGGCUGCGAUCACGAAGGAUUUUGCCAUCACAGUCUCGUUCCCUCCAGCUGAGGCCACGGCUGCUUCGAAACUCAUCAGGAAUUGGCGCGGAUCGGCCUUUCCGCUGAAUUUAGGGAGCGUGAUAGGUUUGUAGGUUGUUGGCCAAGGCGAGGUCUGCAAUCCUUCGGACAAAGGGGAGCGAAGGUCCAACGUGCCCCGCAGCAUGCCACCGUAGUUUGCCGGUUGCACAUCUAAUGUUGGGCCGACGCUGGUCAGAACAGCGGGCUGGACUGUCGGCUGAGGUGGAGGUUGCAUGCUAAGGAUUUCUGCCUGCAGGAGUGAAAGCUGCUGCCUGAUCUCGGCAGCUUGCGUCGCGGCCACCGCUGCCUCUUGGCUGGCGGCGUAGGCGGCAGCGAUCCGGUCUCGCUCUUGCUGAAGGUUCUGCAAUUGCGUCUGCAGCUGCUGGAGCUCUUGCGUGGCCAUGGGUUGCGCCGGGCCUGCGGCGGGAGGAGGUUCCUGGCGUGUUUCCGGCUGCUCGUUCUCUGGCUGCUCGCCCUCAGAACCUUCUCCUUCCACGGUCGCGUACGUGCUCCGCACGGCCCUCCUCGGCCUUCCUCUCCUGGAGGGCUCUGCUCGAGGUCUUGUGGUGCUUGUUCUCUUUCCAGCCAUCGCAGGUUAUACUUCGGCCCCACGGUGGGCGCCAAUGUUGGGAAGAUGCUCUCCGCACUCCCCAGCAGUACGAUGAAUAGAGAACCUUCUCACUCGAUGCCGUGAGAGGUCUGAGCUCCAACGAGCAGCGGGCUCAACAGUAGGUGAACACAAUGAAUGCCCUCCUUUAUUAAUGGCGGUAUCACGCCCCUUAUAUAGGGCCCGGAAACCAACCUAAUGACAUUUACAUAAAUGCCCCGUGACGGUGGGGGAAUAUUCCGGUAUAUCCUUUCAUCGCAGUCUACUGACCCUAAUACACCUGCGUAAUUUCACAUUGCAAACCCUUCGUUCAUCCUCUGACUGGGGCCUCAGCAUGUCGGAGGCUUGGAUCCUCCGCCCAGUUGCGGAUCCUCCGACGCUUUGGUGUCGGAGGUUCCGCAGCCCGGCUGGUCGGAGGUUGCUCGACCCGGCCACCCCGGGAGUUCCUCCUUAGCCUGGUCCAGUCGGAGGUUCCUUGGCCUGGCUGCGUUCUCCCGCCAUCCUCGGACCCGGGAGGGUCGGAGGCUCCAAUCUUUCCUCGCUCGUGGACCUCCGCCGGUGUCUCAGUCCCUGCACACACACUGCGCGACCAGACGAGUUGUCAACAUUAGCAUUUCCCGUCGAAGGAUAUCCUCCAACGUUUCAGGCGUCGGAGGUUCCUCAGGUGAAGGAUAACCUCCGUCGCUACCAGGGGGAAGGAUGCAGCUUUUCCCCAACACAAGCCUAACUCUGUGGUUAGCAGGAACAUUAUGAGAAUCAAAUUUUUGUUGAACAGUAAGCUCCCAAUCUAAAUAUGCCUUAGGAUCAAUAUUACCAGCAAAAGAAGGUAGGCUAAAUUCAAUUUUAACAAAAGAAUCAUUAUUACUAUGAUUAUUACCUCCCAUAACCUUACUCUGCUUCAUUCAAACUUUGAUCACAAGUGAGUAGCAAGGUCAGUAGCAGUAAUAAUACACAAGUCAUUAAAAUAGUGCAUCUUAUCUUAGUAAAUAAAAAUGUACCAGUGGCCCUCUUUUUGCUUCCUAUAUACUAGCUUUCUUGAACCAGUGAACCAAGAACCAACCGUUGGUUCCUAAGAGCUUGUUUGGAUGCCAUUUAUUCACCUCAGUCCUUGUGUAUUGGUUUAGCUUUGUUUAGAAUUUAAUUUAAAUUUCACACCAACUCACCCCUGUCACAUAUGGAUUGAGGCGGAUACAUGAGCAUCCAAACAAGAGCCCUAUAUAAAAGAAAAACGUUUCACUAGCUUAUACAUGCAAGAUCAAAUGCAGAACCAAAAAACUGCACUUUAUAUUGAUCACCAUACUCUUGUACUCUACAUUUAGCCUCUAAGUAUCUCGGGAGGCACUAAAUCACUCGCGCGACAUUUCUCACGUUCCCUGAAUCAACAUACAUUCUCUUGGUUGGGUGCACAUCUACCGUGUAUGACUUGCUACGUUAAAACCUGGAUCUACAAAUGCUAUGACGAAGACAAGUUCAUUGUUGCCAGCCGCCUCAGAUCUUCUUGGGUGACCACGAACAGCUUGUCGUUGUCCCGGAUCACGUCGAUGGAGUCAAUCUCAGCUCCUUCGUCGUUCACGAUCAGCGCCUUCUCCGCAUCAACUUUCAAUUUCUCACCUGAAGAAAAAGAAAAGUGCGAUAGCAUACUUCAGCACUUCAAUUAAUUUGCCACCGCAACUGCAAUUGACUGAAUGAAUUGUGCUUUCUGCGCCUACCGAUGAUGGCUUUGAAUUCUCCCAUGGUGGCUUCUCGAAGAUUGAUCAGCUUGCCAGCUUCAGAGCUGCGGUUUCUGAGGGACGGGUGGCCCUUGUAUAAGCUCACCCGAGGCGAGCGCUGGUUGUCCGAGCUUGUGCUCUGUAAUCUGCCCGGACGGCUAUGCCCCGACGAGCCGCCGUCCGGGACCACCGCCGGCGACGAGUCAACGAUGGUUAUCGAGUGGCCGAGCUCCCGCUUCUGCAGCAGCUCGCGCAGCUCGGUCGGCGACAUUGUUAGCCGCGCGGCGCUGGAGCCGUCGUCGUCAAGGUUUGCCUUGUCCACACUGGCCCCGUUCAUGAUCAGGAACCUGGCUACGUCGACGUGGCCGUUGGCCAUCGCGACGCGCAGCGCGGUGGCGCCGUCGUGGUCCUCCGAGUCCACGUCCAGGCCGAGCUUGAGGAGCUCCCGGAGCGCGUCGAGGUCACCGCGGCGCGCGGCGAGGCACAGGACGUCUCCGCCGGCGUGCGGGUUCGAUGCGUGCGCGAACUGGUACAGGAUAUUGAAGAUCUUGUGGUGCCCUGCCGCGAUGGCGUUCCACAUCGCCGUGUUGCCCUGUGCGUCCUUGAUGUUCACGUUGCACGCGUGCUUGAGCAGCACCAGCACGCAGUCCUCGUACCCAUUGGACGCCGCUAUGUGCUGCAAGUGGCAUCGCCAAGAAGAGCGUCCGGAUCAAAAUGAUCGUGCUAUGCAUGGAUGCAGAAUCCAGAAUGCCUUGAAUUCGACUGUAUGUUCGCUUACCAGUGCUGUUCUGCCCUUGGCGUCGCCGACGUCGGCGUCCUUCCCUGCCCUGAGGAGGUCCUCGAGUAAGCCGCUGUUUCCCAUCGCGGCGACCGUCAGCACAUUCGCGUCAUCAUCGUGCUCGCCAAUGUUGUCAAUCAGCAAGUCCUCGACAUUUAUACCAUGCAUCUCGACAUGAUGCUGCAACACACACGGAGCACAAGCAAAGCAACGGUUUCAGUGAUCACCUCCAGCACAGAGAGCUGCGAGAGGACUGGUAAGUGGUAACCUUGAGGAAGUUCUUGAUGACGACGACGCUGUCCUCGGGCCUAUUCUGCAUGGCCUCCUUGAGGGUGGCCUGCUUCAGCCGCAGCAGCUGGCUCAGCGUCCUCGUCCGGAACGUGAACGCCUGCGCCCGGUCGCUCAGCGCGCUCACCUCGCCGAAGAUGUCCCGCGUCCCCAGUGUCGCCUCCACCCGCUCGUCGAUGCCGUCGAACAGUAUGACCUCCACCUCGCCGGAGACGACGACGUACACGUCGUCCGGAGCCUCGUUCUGCACGAUCACCUCCUCCUUGGGCGGGAUGUACUCCGGUCUCAUCUUGGUGACCAGGGACAGGAGCAUUUCUCUUGAGACCCCGUUGAAGAGGUAGACGUCCUUGACGACAGGCACGAAGAGGUGCUCGCAGAUGCUCUUGUAGAUGGGCUUGGGCAGCUCGUCCAAGAGCUGCUGCUGGUUCAGGUUCUCCACCCUGAACUUGAGGCACAUGUGGGCUAGGAUCUGCUGCUUCAGCCGCGGCGGCAGGUGGUUCCGGCCGACGAAGCUCGACGCGGCCCUGAUGCUGCUCCUCUGCAUCCAAAUUCCAGAUGCAAGUCGAUCGUGUCAUUCAUUUUGCAUACAUAUAGCGAGCAUCGAGUAGUGCUUACAAACUCCAUGGUGCGGCCAGUGCCCUCGACGACGAGGUUGGUCAUGUUGCCGAUGAGGUAGGAGGUGAGCCCGAGGUUGAAGAACAUGUAGAAGAUGUUGAAGAUCAUCUCGAUGGUGUUCCUCGCGCACAGGUCGCCGUAGCCGACGGUGGUCAUGGUGGUGAUGGACCAAUAGAUGGCGGUGAUAUAGCGGAUCCCCAGGCUGGCCUGCCGGAAGUUUGGGAUCACCGCGCCGAUCCACGUCUUCUCCGAGUGCGGGUACCGGUCGGCGAUCAGGUAGUACAGGCACCCGGCGCAGUGGACGACGAACAAGGUCACCUGACCGUGCACGCGCGGCGCAGAGCCAAAUGGUUCAGAAAUCAGAAUUCAGUCGUCGGAAUUCAGAAUUGCAUGGUGACAAACCCUACCAACCGCGACGAGGCGCGCGCUGCGGAUCCAGAAGUAGCUGAAGCGGAUGUCCUUCUCUAGCCUGGUGAAGAACUGGUUGACCCUGCGGAGACGCCACAGGCGUAGGAGGCCCAGCACACUGUACACGGCAUCCUCCCUGACCUCGCCGGUGAUGAAGUAGGCAAAGGCCUGGAACGGGAUCGACGAAGCCACGUCCAUGAUGAAGAACGUCGAUAGGUACCUACGGGCGCAGCACAUAACAGCAAAGCUCGCAGCGUCAAAUUGCUUGAAGCAAUUAUUCUGCUUUCCUUUUUCAUUUUUGAUGGAUUUUUUCGUCAUAUAUAAGAGGAAGGAUUAAUCAAUAUUCAACCAAUGUCAUGUUUGAGCAUCCAACCACCAUCAGGUCUCUCACAAAGAAUUAUAAAAUGGCUGCGAAGAAGGGUGUCAAAAUUAGCUAAGGACGGAGAAAAGCACUAGAGGAUGUGGUGAUGCUAAAUGUUGGUGAUGCUAAAUGUUGGUGCUUGGUUCGAUGAGAACAUGGGAUGUGGGAGUAUGGGAGCCACCAUAAGAGAUAGCUCAGGUGGCACAUGCUCUUAUGGAAGGAUUGAUGUUACACUACUACAGAACGAGGCAUUGGUCGAUGCCCAAAAUGGCUAAAAACCUCGGUUUUUUCGGCCCGGGGUUAAAGACCCCUUUAACAUCGGUUCGUAACACGAACCGGUGCUAAAUGGUUCUGCCUGGUGCUGUCGGGGCAGGGACCCUUUAGCACCAGUGCCACGGGCCGAGGCAAAGCCUUUAGCACCGGUGCUAAAUGGUGACCCUUUAGCACCGGUUUUUGCCUUGAACCGGUGCUAAAGGUCCGGUUUAUAGGCCGGCUCCCUCCUCCCCUCUGCCCAUUUGAAACCGAGAGCACCAUUGUUGUUCUUGGAGCUUCUUCUUGCUUGUUCUUUAUUUGUUCUUCAUCUUCAACGCCCAUCGUUGAUCUUCUUCGACUCCAUCAUCGUCUCUUCGUGCUUGGAGGUGACUAACUUCAGCCUUUCUUGUCUUUUUCAUGUUGUUUUUGGCUUGUGAUGUUCUCAUCAUUUUUUAGCUCAAAUCCACUUUGUUAUUUUGAAUCAUUCACAUGAAUUACAUGAAUUAGUAUAUAUAUAUAUAUAUAUAUAUAUAUAUAUAUAUAUAUAUAUAUAUAUAUAUAUAUAUAUAUAUAUAUAUAUAUAUAUAUAUAUAUAUAUCAAUCAUAUUUCAUGGUUGACCUAGUAUUAAUGUAGUUUGCAAGAAUGAAUUAUAGUAUCUUUUUAUGAUCUUAGAAAGUAGGAUAGUUCAAAUUAAUUGGUUUGUUAAUAUCACUUGAUUUAUUUUUAUUACUACAUAAUGUCCAUUGUAUCAUACAUGUUUACUAGUAAAUGUGGAAUUUAUAAUUGUUUAAAAAUUGAGUAUGGAUAGUAGAUGGCAACCGUGACCGGGUCUUCAGUCUCUCAACGGGUUCAAAAGCGAUAUCGUCCUGAACUCCCUCUCAUUACUUGUGGCAAGUGUGGGCAGAAGAUUUUGAUGGAGUACAAAGUGUCGAAAGAGGGAGUAAACAAGGGUCGUAUAUUCUACAAGUGUCCGGAUCGUAAUGUGAGUUAUUUCCAGACAUUUGCUUAUAUAUGUACAUAUUUUUUUAAAUGAUAUUAAUUAAACUUAGAUACGCUCAGAGUACGUUACAUGUCUCUUUUCAUUAUCUCCUGAAUUAUAUUGAAUAACUUAGAUAACUAAUACCUUUUUUAUUUAUUUCAAAUUAAAGACGGAAUGGUUGAGAGAAAAGAUCCUACAACAAGACCGAAUCAAAGCUAUCCAAGAGACGAUAGCAGGAUUUCUCCACGACCAAGUGAUCAAUCCAAACGGCGAGUUUCACUUUAACGGCAACGAAACUCUUAAUCCAAACAACGAUGAUCAUUUGUAUCGUUUGUAGACAUUGGAAGAAAAAACUCUAUGUAUAUAUGUGUUACGAAUUUUGUACAUAUAAAACUAUAUAUAUAUAAAGCUUUUUACAUAUCUAUUUAAUUUUUGAUGUGGCCUAUUCAUUUUAUUAUAGGCAAAGCUUAAUUAUUAAGCUAAGCCUAUAAUUUUCAUUUAUAUAUGCUUAAUAUGCGUGUAAUAUAAAUAUAUUAUUGUAUCAGCAAAAACAUGUAUUGAAAAACCUAUUAUUAUAUAUUAUAUAAAAAUAAUAAACAGAACCAAAGAAGUGAACAAAAAAAAGAAACCCUUUAACACCGGUCGGUAAUACCAACCGGUGUUAAAGGGUCCUGCAACGUGGCAGCCCUGGCAGGACCCUUUAACAUCGGUCGGUAUUACCAACCGGUGUUAAAGGGGGGGCUUUAGCCCCGGUUACCUGAACCGGGACUAAAGGGUGGGCCUUUAGUCCCGGAAGGGCAGCAUCGGCUCGGGAACCGGGACAACAGGCCCUUCCCGACCGGUGCUAAUGGCCGAACGUGUGGCAGUGUUAGCACAAGAUGUAGGAUGCAAUUUGGUGAUUAUCGAAUCCGAUUGCAUGCAGGUGGUUGGUAUUAUGAGCGAUGAAGGGUUUACAGCUCAUUUAACAACGGCUAUAUAUGAUGAAUGUAAUACAAUGUGGUUAGGAUUCCAGGAGAUCUCCAUAGAGCACUACAGAAGGAAAACAAACUCAUGAAGUGGCAAAGCAAGAUUUCUAAAAAUUAUUUAUUUGGGAUGAUGGUCCCCCUAGCUUUAUUGUUGAGCUUCUAUCAAAUGAUGUAACAAUUCUUGAUCAAUAAAGCUUUACCGCUUUGUUUUGUCAAAAAAUGUCUUAUUUGAGCAAGGGGUCACAGUAAUAUGUGAUAUAUAUGAUGGCCCAUGGCCAAAAGCCUAAGCCUAAGGCUUUCUUCUGGGUUUCUAAUAUAAUUUGGUUUAUAUUCCAGACACAAUGGGUACCUUUGGCUUAUUAUAUAACUAAUAUGUAAGGUUUUUUUCUAAAAAAACUAAUGUAAGGCACAUAUGUAACAUUUUCUCUAUGAUUCUUCUUGAAAUUAGACAUUUUUCUAAAUGAACAAGCGGAAGCUCUGCCUUCAAUUAAGCGGAAGAGGAAGUUUAUGUACAAGAAUGCGGUGUAAACCAAUGAUAGCCGGGAAUCAUCCUUGCAAUCUGCACUCCCGCCAAUUACACCAUUGGAAACACACAAAUAGAAAGGUCCCCUAGAAAAAAACCAAGCAAUGCAUGCAAAUCUAGCGCCCUUCUGUAUUCCGAACAUUCUUUCCUUGUCUGAAAAAUCAUAGAAGUAUUAUUCGCUGAUUUAUUAUGAGAGAAAAAAUAUUGUUGAAUGACUGACAUAUUUUUUUCUUCAAAAAAUGACUGACAGAUUCGGCAAAUAAGUUCAAUUGAAUAGGAGAUAUCAGCAUCACUUGUGAUUCUUUAUUAUUAACAAUGGGUACAAGGAGUUGUUCGAGACGAAAGAGCACGUGAUGAGAGUCGCACACAUUAAGUUACUUAUUUGACGAGUAAUACGUUCAUGAAAGUGUAAGAUCACCUUUAGAGUGUUCACUUCGGCUCUAGAAUGUACUUGUUGCAGAAACGCAUCCUACGUUUUCUACCUUAAUACAAUAAUACACAAAUCUUUUGUAUAUUAUAGAAAAAACAUCGCACAUAUCCACAUGGUCAUAGUGUGGGAAUUCGGCAGCAGAACCAAUAAUCUCCAGCAGCACCUAUAAGUCUAGAACUACCCUUGCCGUUUUCUGACGGACAGAUGCACCGGCAAGAAAGAAAGGAGAGGAUGGGAAGGAAUGAGGCAGGAGUGGAAUGACGCAAGAGUAGUGUUUGGCACAGCUACUACGCUAUUAUUGCAUAGAGGGAACAUGCAAGAGUAGUGUUUGGCACAGUCGCUAUUUCAGAGAUCGAGCAAGGCAACAUGCAUGGUAGCUCAUGUUGGAGUCUUUGUAAUCUGCAGUGUGCAGUGUAGCUUUGAUCCACUUUCAAAAAGCCAAGGUAUUACUAUUAUCACCUCAUAAAACACAUGUGUUAUAUUCAGGUGUUCCAAACAUCUCUGUGCUAGGGUCGAAUUGUUUUGAAAACAUUAAAUGAUUAACAACUUUGGUAGUUCAGAUUGAUGAUUGUUAGACAUUUAAUAUCUAUUUUUCUAAGAGGAUCUCUGUUCCAUUUUUAUUUUAGCUACUAUUUUUGCUUUUCCUGUUGAUUUGGAGCAGGGGAGGAAUAGCUGGUUGGAUGCGUGAUCAACGGGGCCUUUCUAUGUUUAGUUUUCUCCCUAGGUCAUAAGUCAUAACACAUAUAGGUUCUCACUGCUAUUGUAUGGAUGGGUGAGUACUGGCUAUAUUCGUACAGUAAUAUAACCACAAAAGUUUCAUCUGUGCAAAGUGACUCAUAAUAGUAUAUUGGCCCACUUUUUUUUUUGCAUACUCUUAUUGCGUGGAAACCUUUGAGGCUCCCGACCCACUAUUUUCUUAAUCAUACUUCUAGUGCGUUGAAAAUUUUGAGUCCCAUAGCAACGCACGACAUCUACUAGUGUUCAAAGUGUGUAAGAUCACCCUUAAGUGUUCACUUCAGCUCUAAAAUGUGUUUGUUGCGCAACACAUCCUAUAUAUGCUUUCUACCUUUAAUACAUUGAUACACAAAUCUUUUGUAUAUAAGAGAAGAAAACCAUCGCACAUGCAACAUAUCCACAUGGGAAAAGUGAUAAUUCGGCAGCCGAACCAAUAAUGUCCAGCAGCACCUAGAAGUUUAGAACUACCCUUGCCACUUUCUGACUGACAGAUGCGCCGGCAAGAAAGAAAAGAGAGGAUGGGAAGGAAUGAGGAAGGAGCAGAAUGAUGCAAGAGUAGUGUUUGGCACAGGUACGGUACUCUACACUAUAUUUCAGAGACAAUGGUGAUAGUAAAUGGCUCAUCACAAAUGGUUAAUCAUAAACUUGCUUUUUUUACCACUGUCAUCCAUGCAAACCAAGCCAGAACGCUACUGUACCUAUUACCUACUAUACUGACGACGUUGCAAUUGCAUGUUUGCAACGCAGAGAGAUCGAUCAAGGGCAACAUGCAUGCAUGGUGACAUUGUGUGUGUGCAGGCAGUCGACGUACCUGAAGGUUAUCUUCUUCCUGUCGCAGACGAGGAGCUGGGACCUGGGGUCGAUGUAGGCGACGAAGAAGGUGAGCACGAUGUCGACGGCGAAGAAGAGGUCGACGACGAUGUCCGCCACCUCCAGCCCGCCCUUGGGGGACGCG
Molecule: long non-coding RNA, 35966 nt
Filed under: Sorghum bicolor (sorghum)
Lineage: Eukaryota; Viridiplantae; Streptophyta; Magnoliopsida; Poales; Poaceae
Description: long non-coding RNA (SBIC_LNC016653)
Source: RNAcentral